Molecule: long non-coding RNA, 5960 nt
Organism: Tympanuchus pallidicinctus (lesser prairie-chicken)
Lineage: Eukaryota; Metazoa; Chordata; Aves; Galliformes; Phasianidae
Exons: 6
Source: RefSeq, a predicted model, not a curated record
CUCGCGGCCGUCCCGCGCUCAGUGCAAACUCGGGUGAAGUUGAGGUCGCUCCCCAGCCCCCCUCGGGGUCCUUUCGUACCGGACAACCCGCGGCAUCGCGGCCGAGCGCAGGGUGGGAGUGCGGUGUCGCGUCUGCUGUCCCAAGGCUCCCCGCACUCGCGCUGAGGAGGUGCGACCCCGCGCCGUGCCGCCGAACCGCCCUCAUCCCGCGCGGAGCCCGGCGGGCGCACGGCAGGUGGGAUCCCGCGCCGGCCUGGGGAUCGCCGCCCCGUCCUUCUGUCUCCGCGGCCGCCGACAGCGCCUCGAGAACGGCUGUAUCACCUGCUGUAAUGCCCGUCCCUCCUGCGUGCCUCAGCUCCCACCAGGGAUUGCAGCACAGAACCACAUCCCAGCGUUGUGUCUGCAGUGGAACCAGCACGUGAAACCUGCAUGACAGAGGACUUUCUGGAAAACAAGUUCAGCCUUGCUAUCUGCGCCUGGCACGUGAGAAUGAAAGCUGGCUUGCUUGGAGCAGAGGCCUCCCUGCAGUCACUGGCAGAAUGUUUGGACACAGCUCUGCAGGACGUCCUGGGACCAGCGUGACCCAGCUGGGAGCAGCAGCUAGCUGAAAAACUCGCUUCAGAAGCACUCAGCUGUGGCCUGCUGAGGAACUGGAAAGGCCUCGUCUGAGAUGUGCAGAAAGCUCACACCAGUUUAAAGAUACGUGAAUACAUGAAUUCUGCUCUGUCAUAACCACACGAUGCCAAAAAGAGCUGCCGCUGCUUGGAGUGACUGACUGCUCAUCUGAUGGGUCUCAGUUCUGAAGUCCAAAAUGAGAUUCCUCUGCUUAAGGACUGGCUGUUCAGAGAUGCACUUGGAGUCCUGCGGCUGCUCCUGAAAUCAGUGGGAACUGACUUCAAGCACCACUGAAACACACUCCUGGCUCUCCCAGGUGCCUUUUUUUAAUUGAAGAUGCUUGGAUGUUACAAGGUGCUUCUAACAAGAAAAAUGCAGUGUGCGUCAUGCACCGAAGUCACGCUGUAACAGGAACAGAAGCAGCUGUGUUUGCAUUGCCCACUCACAGAUCUCUGGACUCAUUUAUAAAUUUCUCUCUUCGUCUGGUAAAUAAUUCUUCAGUAGAAUAACUUAUUUAUGCUGUUUUUGAAGGGUAUUUCUAUACCCAAGUUACGUUUUAAUUGUGUUGUUUGCAAGAACUCAGAAAUAAUUUUCUUUUUCAAAGAGCCCUCGUCAUCCCCUGCUUUUUUUUAACCGGUACACAGGUGGCUGAAAGACAAUUCAGUGCUUACAGCUGAGGAUGCUGGAUACCUUCAUCCCAGGCCCCAACCUGCCCUGUACCCUGUACCACAUGACCUUGAUUCAUUAUAGGACCUCAGUUCUCAUGCCCAUCUGUAAGCUAACAGCUACUGUACAGCUGUAACUGCAGAGCUGUAACUGCAGAGCUCACUCAUUGAGUGUCUGUAGGAAGAGGAGGUGAUGCAGCAGCAGCAGCAUUAAGGCACAGAAAUAGGGCUCACCUUUGCUGGUCUUCUCGACAUUCUUUCAUGCUUUCUUUGAAUGACCUUUCAAUUGGUCUCUGCAUUACUUUCCUGUUACACGGAGCUGCUGCAGCAGUGAAAUAGGAAGCAGAGAUUGACAAAGUGCAGAGUAGGCAAAAUAUGCGUGAAGUGAUUUAAUAUGAGUUGAUAGGUGUCACUGAUCUCUAUUAUAAAUAGACUGUGUGAAUUCCAUAUGAUGUAUUAUUUAUCUAUUGUAGAUGCCUUUUUGUUUCAUUAAUAAAGCUGGAAAUCAGACAUAUACGUUUCCAAUGAUGAGGUUUUGGCAAUACAAGGCAUCGUGGUAUUUGUCUGCAAUUGCUCAAUUAUUUUGAUGAUUUUCUUCUUCUUUCUCUAUAAAUAAUUAAUGUUUGAGACGUUUGCUCAAGAUUCUUACGAUUUUAGCUCAUUUGUCCAGCUGAAGUCUUUUUUCCCUCUCUGAUGAAAGGAGAUUCAUGCAGUGUAAGGACUUACACUUUGACCUGACCUUUGCAACGCUGUGCUGUAGCACACAGCUUGGGUGCUCUGACUGAGGUUUGUGAGGCUUGUGAGGUCUGGUAACUCCAGCAAAACUCACAUCAGCAACAUGUGUUCAGUUUAAAUCUGCUUCAAAGCAGAAACUCAUUUGCUCUUAUUCUACCUGCAGUUAAAAAUGUUCCCCAGGUGCUUGAGAAAGUUAAAAGCAUAGGAAAGACUUCGCGUUUCAAAAUCCUGAAGCGAGCAGCAAGAAGCAGCCAGCAGUGCCUCCUGCCUCUCUUCCUGAAGAUGCUCAAGCCAAGAUAUCCUUGAGGACGUUAAUGUUUAAAACAAAAGACAGAACCAGGGCUGGUGCCAGGCGCAGGUCAGCGAGCCCCAGGCCCUGCAGGGGCGGAUGGCAGCGGCGCUGGCAGCACUGCCUGCAGCAGGAGGUGCUGUGCUGUGCUCCCACGAGAUCUGCCUUCCCAGAACGCCUCCAUCGGUACUGAAAUUUGUCUGCCUUCUGCAUUUGAUCUCCUUAUUUUCUUCUCAUAUGCCUUUUUAAUGCUGUUUGUAGCCAUUUCAAUUAUGUGAUUUCCUUAUCUGUAUACCAUUGAGAAUACUGUACAAGACUUUAUAAACAGCUACUAAGUCUAUCUGCCUGUCAUUUGGUUUUCAUUACGUGAGAUAACAAUCCUUCUCAUAUCUUAUAAGAAGAUAUAAUGUGAUUGUUUCCAAACGGAGAGGGGAAAAAAGUCUAGUCUGCAUUAUACUUAGCCUGGUAGCAUUUGUAAUGUUGGUGGUGUCAGCACAAUCUCCAACAUUUUUUCCUUGCUGUGGUCCAGGAAGAAUUAUCUCUCUAGUUUUUUGUGUUUGCUGCUAUCUGUUCUUUUUCUCCAUUUUAGACACGGUGAAUUUCUUAUCUGGAGCGUGGUUACGUGGCCGUGGAUUUGCCUAUAUUCAGUGUGAUCAUUCCUAACUGUUUCGUGGGGCUGAUACACUGAAGGGAAGGAUGAGAGGCAAUUGUCAACAGCUCACUGUAUUAAAUAUGGAUAGAUAUUAUUCAUGUAAUUUGACAGUUCUUGACUUUCAGCUGUAUAAUGACAGUGAAACGGUAGGAAUUUCAGCAGCCGAACUUCUGUCUUACUUCAAGAUAAGCUUAUCAACUGUAGCCUGAAUCCAUUCAACUCAUAAGCAGAUCAAAACUCGUGUCAUGCUGAACUGUGGCACUGAUUCCCGCUUCCUGCUGUUGCUUUACUUGUCCAUAUGGUCUCCGUUGUUUGCCAUCUUGCAGUUACUUUGAGAGGUUUUUGGGGGGCUGACUGUCUCAUGUUCAGCACUUCAUACAGUGAAGCCGUGGAUCUUGCUCGAUGCCACCAGUUGCUCAUGUAACAUAAAUACUAUGUAAUGAAGUGAUAAUAGAUGAUGGUCAGCCCUUGGGCUUUCUUCUCUCUUCAUCAGUUACACACUUGAAUUACAAAGAGUUGCUUUGUUUGGUUUCCCAUUUAACAUGAAGCACCCUGGAGUUUAUCUUGUGCUAUUUGUCCCAGAACUUCAGUGGGAUCCCCGCAAAUACGCAGGAAUUGUGCAUUUCUUUCACCAUUUGUGCACUCCCACCGCUGCAGCAUGGCGUGGCAGCUGCAGACUAAACAGCAUCGUUAGGUUAAGGAUUGAUCAAGUGGCUGUGGAAUUUCCAUGCUCUGUUUCGUGCCUUCCAGAUUACAGCACUGUUUCCAAACUGGUGGGAUUCAGCGGGGGGGAGGGCGGGAAGAAUGGUGCAUUGUACAACUUUUGGCAGCCAAAUGUUCAACUUCAAAAUCAAAAAACAAAAAAUAAUAAUACUUUAAAAAAACCCUAGAAUUGUAAAAGCAAAUGUGAAAUCUCUCUCCUGUCAUCUCCACCUUCAUUUUCUUCUCUGCCUGCUCACUGCAGUUUUAUCUCAUGGCUGUGAACUCCUCCAGGCUAGGCCUGUCUUUCUGUUUCUGUCUGCGAAAUGAAGAGCACAAGAGGAUAUAAGGAUGUACAGAUGUGGUUGCUGGCUCGGGCCGUGGGCUGGUGUCCUAUCUGCCAUCAGCCUUCAUCCGCCUGCUGGUUUUUCCAUCGUCCAACCUCCUGCUGGAAACACGGCAUGCUGAUGGGAGCCCAUUGCUACAGACUUCACCAGAAUAUUUUCCAAACAAUUAUGUUUAUUAAUUCAUCAUUGAUGUGUUUUUCUUCUCCGAAUUUUUCUGCUCUCUACUCGAGUACACUUCUGAGCAGCAGUAAACAAAAAGUGAUCGCUAUCAGAAUAAGUGAUGAUAUGGAAGUUUUGCAAUUUCUUAACAGUAAGAGAUCCUCAGCUAUUUGACUUCUUCUGUAAUUUGUGAGAAGAAAUAUGACUUCAGGUUUCACUAUUAAAUGCAUGCCUCAGUGGCUCAGUUUAUGCAUUCAUAAUUAUAUUUACAAUUAGAAAUAAUGUAAUCAGGAAUAGAUUUUUUUUUUACUGGCUGACUGCACAAAAUGAGUUGAGGAGAAAAUGUAGUUUUAAGCCACGCUUUCUUCCCCACAGUUUAGGAUCAUUUAAGCUUCAUCUCAGUCAUACGUAAGGAAAUUAUAGGCUAAUGAAGUCCUUAUACUGCUGUAUUAGAUCUGAAGAUUGCCAGGUCUAUCACUGGGUUCCCUUCUGCACAGCAAAUCCCCAAAUACUGAGGAUGCAAUGGCAGAAGGACACAAAAGCACUUUCUGCAGUCACAGAGUGCAGUGUUCUCCUGUAAAUAUUUUAAUUCCUUCAUAAUGGAAAAGAGCAGCUUUAAAUGGAGAAGCAGAUAAGGAGAGAGUGUGAGGCAUUCUCACAGUGGAGGAUUCAGGUGCCCUGCUAGGCAGGGUUAAUGGGUGCUGUACUGCAGUCACUCUGCUCCUGGGAAUCCCUGAAAUGUCAAAGUGGUGCAAAACAAAAUUGUGAACCGAGUCCUGCUUGUUUUAAAUGGAGGCAGCAGGGCAGCACUGAGCUCAAAUGCAGACUAUUUAGACACGGGAUGACAUUUAUGAUUACUUUCCUCUCUUGAAAAUUAAUCAGAAAGUUAUUUCUGUGAAAAUUUGAUUCUUAACUGAAAAAUUCUAAUCUGUUCACUUGUUUUAUUUUUUCUUUGAUCAUCAUUUCCCAUCACUGGAAAACAAUGGAGAACGCCCUUGUUUGCUGAUAGUUUCUAAAGCAUUUUCCUUCAGUCUUUGGCCAAAAUAUGCAAUGAAACGUAUGUUCACAUGUUUUGCACAGUGAUUUUUGUCAGAAAAGCCAUUUCCCGUCAAAAAGAUUAUUUCAAGGGAUGUUUUCACUUGCCAGAUUCAGAAGCACAUUAAUGCUGGCUGCAAUCAGAAGGGCACGCUCAUACAGUGGGCUUCCACACUUCUCAUGAUACUUUUCAACAGGACUGUCACUGGCAGCACAAGGUGCAGCAAUGUCAGUUUUAAUUAAAACCUUUCCUUUUACCUGCUGCACAGAACAGCUGCAGCAUAAACUGGGAAGCAAAGGCACCACAACAUGUACGAGCCAGGUUUUGUUGAACACAAACAGGAGGCAUCACUAAUGGGAGCUCUGCACGGAGCCCAUUAGCCCAACAGAUUCCGCUUCUCCCUAAGAUGCUCCACGCAAACUUUUGCUGGUUUCCAAAAAUUGGUCGCCAAAAAAACAUGCAGUGGAGUCGAGAGCACAACUUGGGUAAAAGUGAGCGCUGGGUGGAGAGGCCAACACGAGUACCUGUGCUUUACACUGAGCCCUGCACUGAUGGCCAAUUUGAGCGUGUAGAGAAGGGUCGGGUGAGCAGCAGUGAGCAGUGCAGGAGACGUUGCCUCCUUCCCCUCAGUGCAGUGGGGUUGGAAGUCUGGGGUAAGGCCCCAUCUCCAUAAGGACCCACUAUUAAAUGAUUGCGAGAGGAAAUCAGCAGCUGCUGCGUCUGAUAGUCCUCAUCUUCUCAGGGUGAGCUCUGGGCGUGAGCA